This 403-nucleotide ribosomal RNA is filed under the name uncultured bacterium. RNAcentral's name for it is "bacterial SSU rRNA". It matches the Rfam family "Bacterial small subunit ribosomal RNA", at positions 355 to 775 of the family's 1533-position model. The record is from RNAcentral.
UAGGGAAUAUUAGUAAUGGGCGAAAGCCUGAACUAGCAACGCCGCGUGUGCGAAGAAGGCCUUCGGGUUGUAAAGCACUUUUUGAGAGGAUGAGGAAGGACGGUACUCUCAGAAUAAGUCUCGGCUAACUACGUGCCAGCAGCCGCGGUAACACGUAGGAGGCGAACGUUAUCCGGAUUUACUGGGCGUAAAGCGCGUGUAGGUGGUUUGGUAAGUAGGGCGUGAAAGCUCCUGGCUCAACUGGGAGAGGCCGUUCUAUACUGCCGAACUAGAGGAUGGUAGAGGGAGGUGGAAUGCCGGGCGUAGCGGUGGAAUGCGCAGAUAUCCGGAGGAACACCAGUGGCGAAAGCGGCCUCCUGGACCAUUCCUGACACUCAGACGCGAAAGCUAGGGUAGCAAACGG